RNAcentral lists this ribosomal RNA (200 nucleotides) under uncultured bacterium. RNAcentral's name for it is "partial 16S ribosomal RNA". It matches the Rfam family "Bacterial small subunit ribosomal RNA", at positions 8 to 230 of the family's 1533-position model. The record is from RNAcentral.
AGAGUUUGAUCCUGGCUCAGGAUAAACGCUGGCGGCGUGCCUAACACAUGCAAGUCGAACGCCCUUAGCAAUAAGGGAGUGGCGGACGGGUGAGGAACACGUGGGUAUCUGCCUUGAGGUGAGGGAUACCAGCGAGAAAUCGCUGACAAUACCGCAUAGCCUUCUCACGAAGGAAAGUCGCAAGACGCCACAAGAUGAGC